Molecule: long non-coding RNA, 1137 nt
Organism: Mauremys reevesii (Reeves's turtle)
Lineage: Eukaryota; Metazoa; Chordata; Testudines; Geoemydidae
Exons: 3
Source: RefSeq, a predicted model, not a curated record
UCAGUAUUAGGCCUAAAACUUCCGGAAGCUUCAUAAGGCGAGCAUUCUAGAAUUAGCUUUAAGAAGCAAGCUUUGCAAAAGGAAACAGACUUGUGGUCAAGACGCUCUGCCACAUUAUGCUAACUCCUGUAAAGUGAGAUAAGUUGUACCCCCCUGGGCACAGCUUGUCUAGCCCACAUUGACCAUAUUUAGAACAUUUGGCUAUUAGACAAACCACAGUUGAGACAAUGGGCUAUAUGGAUACAAGUUAUCUCCUUGUGUAUAACUUAUAAAACUAAAACGACAAUUGGUUACAAGAAAAUAAGUAAGCAUGAAUUAUACAGCCAACUCUAAUCAGAUUAAAGAUUUGGCCUAAUCUGAUUGGUUGACCUGCUUCAAAACACGGCGGGCAGAUAAGAAUAAAUGUGUAGAGCUUCAGGUGGGCAUGUGUGUGUGUGUCUUGGUCUAGGAUGUUGUUCUCUUUGACCGUCUGGACCCAUACCCCCUGAACCAAGGAAACCUGAAUCACACCGACUAUCUGUACCUGGCCAGUGCAAAGAGUGGUCAACUAAAGGGUAACGUAUUCUCGGCAAGGUGCAUAUGGUAGAAGGUAGUAUGAUCACUGAAGGUGCAAAUGAAAGGAGGAAGGUCACCAGAGCAGCAGCUGGAUGAUUUCUUUGUAACAUGACACAGCACUGACAAGUGCCAAUCUGAAACAAUGGAUGAAAUGGCUGAGGACAACAAUUUGGAGGUGGACUACAGCAUAAUGGAUCAAGGGAACAAGAAGGGGCCAGUGCUGAUGGGUCUUUGACAAGCAGGAAGAAUACAGCAAAUGCAUGAACAACAAAAAGGAAAAUUGAGGAGCGGAGAGAGAGGGAAGGAUAGAUGGGAAGAAGUCAGAAAAGUGAUAUACGCUGGACAUGUGAUGAGGAAGAGAAGCUGAUGGAGUGGUGUUUAAUGCUGGAGGAAUGGGAAAAGAAAAACCCAACCCUCUCACCAGAACUGGGUUUAUAAAGUUGACAAGCCAGUCAUCAGGCCCAGUCAUCACUGAAUCCACAAAGUGGAACAGCUAGAACAGGACAGACUGAGGAAGCCCUACAACAGAACAUCGCAUAGCUCAGUGGUUAGAGAAUGCUCCUGAGUGGUGGGAGACCCCUG